RNAcentral lists this ribosomal RNA (460 nucleotides) under uncultured bacterium. Its description in RNAcentral is "partial 16S ribosomal RNA". It matches the Rfam family "Bacterial small subunit ribosomal RNA", at positions 338 to 795 of the family's 1533-position model. The record is from RNAcentral.
CCUACGGGAGGCAGCAGUGAGGAAUAUUGGUCAAUGGACGAGAGCCUGAACCAGCCAAGUCGCGUGAAGGAUGACUGCUCUAUGGUUUGUAAACUUCUUUUAUAUGGGAAUAAAAUGUUCCACGUGUGGGAUUUUGUAUGUACCAUAUGAAUAAGGCUCGGCUACAUCCGUGCCAGCAGCAGCGGUAAUACGGAGGAACCGAGCGUUAUCCGGAUUUACUGGGUUUAAAGGGACCGGAGGGGGUUUAUUAAGUUUGUUGGUAAAGUUUGGGGCUUAACCGUAAAAUUGCAGUUGAAACUGGCAGUCUUGAGUAUAGGAGAGGUAGGCGGAAUUCGUGGUGUAGCGGUGAAAUGCUUAGAUAUCACGAAGAACUCCGAUUGCGAAGGCAGUUCACUGGACUACAACUGACACUGAGGCACGAAAGCGUGGGUAUCAAACAGGAUUAGAUACCCGUGUAGUC